UGGGGAAUCUUGCGCAAUGGGCGAAAGCCUGACGCAGCAACGCCGCGUGAGCGAAGAAGGCCUUCGGGUUGUAAAGCUCUGUCAGGGGGAAAGAAGGCACCUGGGUUAAUAGCCCAAGGGCUGACGGUACCCCCAAAGGAAGCCACGGCUAACUACGUGCCAGCAGCCGCGGUAAUACGUAGGUGGCAAGCGUUGUCCGGAAUCAUUGGGCGUAAAGAGCGCGUAGGUGGCUUGUAAGGUCUGAUGUGAAAUUUCGGGGCUCAACUCCGAACCUGCAUCGGAAACCGGCUUGCUAGAGUCUCGGAGAGGAGAGUGGAAUUCCUGGUGUAGCGGUGAAAUGCGUAGAUAUCAGGAGGAACACCGGUAGCGAAGGCGGCUCUCUGGAACAGUACUGACGCUGAGGCGCGAAAGCUAGGGGAGCGAACAGG
This 428-nucleotide ribosomal RNA is filed under the name uncultured prokaryote. RNAcentral describes it as "bacterial SSU rRNA". It matches the Rfam family "Bacterial small subunit ribosomal RNA", at positions 355 to 776 of the family's 1533-position model. RNAcentral also lists the same sequence under 1 other name. The record is from RNAcentral.